CCCCAGGGGUGACAGCUGCAGAGGAGGUGAGGGGUCCCCACACUGCUGCCCAGUUGGCUGGCCCCCAAGCUCCUCCUGCAGUGGCAAGUCUUUGACCACACUGGCACUUCCUUUGAAGGGACCUACUCCACCUGAGGUGGCCUUCUCACCUCUGGAAGGAGGCCAGAAAGCUGCGGUCUAUGCCUUGGUAUUGAGCACUCUAGUUUUUCUCUGAGAUGUGAUGAAGAAUUUCCCCUCCAGCAGUAUGUGGCCCAACUGCCUGGGGAGGAAGAAGCAGGCCCUUCCCAUCCUCGGUGAAACGGAACCCUGUGUUGUAGAUGCAGUGGCUUCAUGAGGAGAGUGGCCUUGUCUCUCAAUGCAGAAAACAAGGCUCAGAUGGGGCCACCGACAUUCCCAAAUCGAACAUAUUUGGUUGGAUAAAGGAGCGGAGGCAGGAACUCUGGAUUUUCUCUUAGCUGUGCUGAAGGAGGCCUGCCGAGGUCGGGGUACCCAGAGCAGAAGUGGCUGCAUGAGGUGUGUCAGG
Molecule: long non-coding RNA, 523 nt
Organism: Camelus dromedarius (Arabian camel)
Lineage: Eukaryota; Metazoa; Chordata; Mammalia; Artiodactyla; Camelidae
Exons: 3
Source: RefSeq, a predicted model, not a curated record